Long non-coding RNA from Ostrea edulis (European flat oyster), 3246 nucleotides. RefSeq lists it as uncharacterized. The transcript has 3 exons. NCBI's taxonomy places the organism in Eukaryota, Metazoa, Mollusca, Bivalvia, Ostreida, Ostreidae. The record is from RefSeq and is a predicted model, not a curated record.
UCCUGUAAAUAUUGAGAUUUCUUACAAUUAAUUAGCAUAAUUAUAUUGCCAUUUUUGAAAGAAUAUCAAUAAUUAAAAGAUGACUCAGAGAAUCAUGUCAACUUGAAAGGUUUUCACGUGUUAUCUGGAGUUCAGCCUCACAGACAUGUCUAAAUUACCUGACAGAUUAAUAUAAUAUUAACAGCAUGCAUCUCAUUUGACUUUUUUCUUUAUUAAACACAGCACUUCUCUUAACUCUAUUGGAAAGGCAACGAGAAUGAAUGUUCAUUUUUUCUUAACAAAUUUUUUUUUUUUUAAAUUUCUGAAUUCUCGGUUCCUAGUAGUGAGGAACGGCAGAAUGUAAUAAUUCAUCACCUGUACGCAUUACUCUUUUUCCGGUAAACCUGAACUUUUUACAUCAGGUUACAUGAAGGAAUUGUAGUAUUGGUUUAAGUGAUGAAUUGGCUGCAUGUGUUGCUUAAGUUGGUAUUUCUGUUUAACACAUAAAGGCAGAUAGGCCUAUCUGCCGGCUGCUAAGAGAGAUUGUAUGUACAGCUUUCAGGGCCUUCACGUUGUUUGUGUCACUCAAACCAAGAUCAUAUUAACUUCACUUUGUUUACCAACAUUCAGAAACAAUUAGGACUACAUUUCAAUCAUCUUUGGAAUGCUAAAAAGUCAUCCUUUUCUUCUUAAUCACAAAAUUCGUACAGAAGCAAUUAAAGCAAGAGUUGUCUUUCUUGAAAUAUACUAAUUAUUCAAAACUGACACAAACUUCACCCGAUCACGUUUACAUGCAGACUCCAAAGUGCUCACUGCUGCAAGCUAUAUAGUAAAUUAAUUUUCAAAUUAAUCUAUGAAAGCAUUUGCUGACAAUUGUAUUUCUGGUGGAGAAAAAAUCCAGAGGAUGCCGGAGGUUGCUGGCAUUAUCUAGAGAUAAACUAAAGUAGUGGAAAAAUCUGUAUCUAUGUGAUGUACUGUAAAUCAAGUGUGAAAAAGACAAAUAGACCUCAAAGUCAUGCUGAAGGGGUUAGAGUAGCAUCUGAUUCACAUGGGCUCUUUACAUUUCAUGAUGUCUUUUCCUUACAGUGUUUAGGGGAAAAAAUCAAGGAAACUCAAAGGUAAAAAUUGUCUAGUUGUAAGUGGGUAAUGAGGAAAAUGUGCCAUAUAUCAUGUACACCAUCAACCAAACUCAUCUCCUCCCUUCUUAAACUUGAAAACAUUCCAUUUCUGUAUUUUUUUUGUCUCUCUUUUUUGGUGAUUAUGUAUUCUUUCAUCAAUGUUUUCUGUUAAAUGAUUUUGUUGGUACAGAGUGAAGGUCAUCUGGUAGAAUCGAUAUUUAUACUUUCCGAGUGGCACCACUGUCCAGAUCAUGCAGGGUUCAAAUCUCUGUCCAAUCAGUGCAUGGCCCAAAAUCGGGGUUCAAAGCUCUGCUGUCAGCCCCUGAAACUCAAUGAUGAAAAUGGCUGCCAAGGGAUAAAAAUCAAGGGUUGUUUGGCUUUGGGGGCAAAAAGCAUUAAGGAGGGAGGAAGGUAAUGGAGGAAGGUGACUGUCAGCUGGUUUUAAUCACUUGUAAACAGCUCAGUUGGUAGAGCACUAGCAGUAGAGCACCUGUAAAGUUAGAUUCACCCUGAGCAAAAGUGUUGCAUUUUCUCCCAUAAUUCUGUAACGGGAAGGGAGAAAAUGCAACGGACCAGACUGGGAUUCGAACCCGGGCCCCCUGAAGCUCUAGUCAACUGAGCUAUCUGGCCACCUCCAAUCGAAUCCGGCUGACCGCUACACUCCUCCCUCCUUAAAUGUCUUCACGCUGAAGACAUCAACCCAGGAUCUUUAUCCCCUGCAUGGAUGACAUUUUCACCUGUCAGUUCCAGGGGCUGGUCAUGGCACCAAAUGUAACAGGAAAGGAGAAAAUGCAACAGACAAGACUGGAAUUCGAACCUGGGCCCUGAAUCUCUAGUCAGGUGCUCUACCAACUGAGCUAUCUGGCCACCGGCGAUCGAAUCCGACUGACUGCUACAAUUCUAUAACUGUUACAGGUGGGAGAAAAUGCAACAGCCCAGACCAGGAUUCAAACCUGGGUCCCCCGAAUCUCCUGUCAGGUGCUCUAACAACUGAGCCUGGCCACUGGUGAUUGGGUCUGUCUGACUAUAACACAUUCCUUCUUACUUUAAUGUCUUCACACUUGAAGACAUCAAUCCAGGAUCUUUAAUAUCCCUUGGCAGGAAUUUUCAUUCAUCUGAGUUUGCUGGUCACGGCACCAAAUGUAACAGGAAAGGAGAAAAAGAAAAUGGACCAGACCAGGAUUUGAACCUGGCAGGUCCCUUGAAUCUCUAUAGUCAGGUUUUCUACUAACUGAGCUAUCUGACCACUAGCAAUCGAACCUGUCUGACCGCUACAAUUCAAUCCAUUGAAUCAGCAGUCUUGUUGGAUACUCUGAUAGGUAUACAUGGAUGCUAUAAUACUAAUACAAGUACAUUCAACCUUUUGUUUUAUACAUGUAAACGUAAGUACCUGUAGUCUUGUAAGUUAUGUGGACCUCAGAAAAAAAGGGGCGGUGUAAGUAAGGAAUCUACAAAGCUUCUGCCACACAGGAAGUCAAUUAUACUAAUCAAAAGAAGUACCUUCAGACAUGUGUUUUAGGAAGUCAAAACGAUCUAACAAGCAUGUCUUCACAGUACGUCAAAUUGGAAACAACCUAUGUUGUAGCAAGAUACUUUGAAAAUUGAUGCAGAGUGCAUGUCAGGAGAACAAGCUCCAGAGGCGGGAGACAUUUGGUAAGGUGACCCAUCGAGGGGUGAAUGUCACCUAAUAUCUAUGCUCAAAAGAAAGUGAAACAUUCCAGAUGAAGAUGGGAUUAGUUCCACCCUGGAAGUCAUGAGAGCUGUUUGAUCCCGAUAGUGCAGAACAAAAGGGGAGGUAAGGCUAUCAGAAUUGACCUGGAUUUCUGGGGAAUGUGAACAGGGAAAGAUUCUUGUUUGAUGUGGGUGAAGUUCAGACACGGCAUGGUAACUCUAUGAGAGGGUUCACUGCAUCUCCAGGAAACAGGUUGCUCAACAUGAUUAACUAGACGGUGGCUGCAGGCCUAUCGAAGAAAACUAGGAGAUUUCCAUCAGAUUGAUCAUUUGUGGCUGGAGUUGUUCAAGUUGAUGAAGACCGAUAACAAACAGUAGCAAAUUGUGACAAUCUACAGCCAACCAGUAUCUGAGGGAGCAGCCAUUAAUUCAGGGAGCAUUGAUUUAUCUUGGUUGUCACUAAACACAUUAAGCAGUA